GGUGCCGAUGGCGCACAGCAGACUGGUGGCGAUAGCGCACAGCAGACUUGUGACGAUAGGGCACAGCAGUCUGGUGGCGAUGGGGCACACAAGUCUGGUGAUGAUGGGGCACAGCAGUCUGGUGGUGAUGGCGCACAACCGUCCGGUGGCAAUGGUGCACAGCAGUCUGGUGGCGAUGGCGCACAACCGUCCGGUGGCAAUGGUGCACAGCAGUAUUCCUGGUCUUCUGAAGUUCGUUCAGGUCCUCAGCUCUGACCAGAUUCAAGGCGAGACAAGCAACGGAUCGGGCGAGUGAAGAGCUGUAGAGGUGCUGGCUCACUCAAGCCCCAGAUGAGUCUGCUAGUCGUCAAAGGGUGACGCCCCACGACAGCUGCGAUUGUUUCGAACACAAUAGAUACAUAUGAACCCUAAUAACAAUUAAGACACUGAUACACUCACAAACAAACAACCAGUUUACAUUACCUUCUCUUCACACUGUGGAGUUAAGGAAGAUAUCAAAGUAUGUAGGAUAAAACAACGUUCAGCAGUCCUGAAAGGACAAUCCUCAUCACACGAAUGUAAGAGGUACAGGCCGUCACAAAUCCGAACGGGAGUCUGUUGAGUUCCAUCAAUCCUCUGUGAGUUGAAAAAGCAUUUAGUGCUUUAGCCCUUUCAGUUUGUGGUAUUUGGUAAUACGCCUUACAUAAAUCCAGUUCCGAAAAAUACCUGGCUCCCGCAAAUUUGUGUAGAUCUUCCACAGCACAAGCUGGUUCAGCUUGGAAAACAGUAAUCGAGUUGAGCUGGUGGUAGUCAAUGGUCAUCUUGUAAGAUCCAUCUUUUUACCGUACCAUUACAACAGGAGAGCAAUAUGGAGAUGAAGACAAACCAAUUAUCCCCUGUUAAUCGAGUUGGUUGACCUCCUUGAAGUAAGGCUAGAGAUAGAUUAGGACAGGCUCGAUGCUCUUCAUUGUUUAUGGUGACGACAGAAGUCUUGGCAUAAGCGGGUGGUAUAUUUCCAAGGGAGGAACUUCAUUCAUUAAUUCAGUAAAGUUGACGUGUGUCCUUUGGUGGUGCUUCUUGAGUAGGUUGACGUGUUAGAGCGUAGGUCCUUUGGGGAGAUCGAGAAGGUGAUCGACUUUAUAUCUUUUAUCCAAGACUUUCAUGCUCUUGGCUCAUCAGCACACAGCUUAAAUAGGGCUGCCUUGAGGGACCCAUGGAAUCUUUCAAUUCUGCCAUUUCCACUGGGAUGAAAAGGUGUUGUGAAGAUGGGUUUAACUCCCAGGAAGCGAUGAAGUUCAGCCAUUAACUGUGAUGUAAACUGGAUGCCUCUUUCCAAUAAGAUUUCUCUGUGAAUACCCACCCAAGAAAAAUCGCCAAUAAUGUUUCUACUACAUAUAUGCUGUCAAUGUCCUUGAAAGAAACGACUUCAGGGAACCCUGUAGCGAAAUCAAUCAGUGUAAGUAUGUACCGAUGACUUUCUGAAGAGGAUGGUGACAAGGGUCUGACAAGAUCUAUGGCAACACGGGAAAAGGGUUCCGAUAUGAUGGGAAGAAAUUGAAGAGGAACUGGAGGAACUCGACCUUUAGCGGACAUAUGCUGGCACUUGUCACACGAGCGGCAGUAAGAUGGGAUGUCUGUUCCCAUACCAGACCAGUAGAACUGAUCAGCUAUCUUCUGUUCCUGUGAGAAAAGUGGCCAGCCGAAGGAGACUCAUGGGUGACGGAAAGGACAGCUUGGCGACAGUCUGCAAGGACAACAAGAGAAAGUUUUCCUAUCUUAUCUGAGCGCUUGGAAGGAACACACUUACGGUAGAGAAGUCCAUUUACAUGAAGGAAUUGGUAUGUAGAACCACUUCGUGAGUGUUCCUUCUCUCCAGAAGCCGUUUUCUCCACCACUCGUGUUAGAGAGGGGCAAGAAUCCUGAAGGCGGUGGAAGUCCUCUGGUAUCACUCAGAAAGGCUGCAAGUCUGGUAGGACUAAUGGGUGAAUCUUCUUCAUUCGGCUGGCUCUUGUCUCCACAGCUUGGACUAUGGCGGCUGUUAGAGUUUGGAAAGACUCCUGAAUAGAUACAUCAGAAGUCCAGUCACACAGGGUUACAAGAUCCUCUGGAGGACGAGCACCAUUGAUGGUACCUGGAACGCUGUAUUGGAUCUGAUAUCGUUUAUUUAGGCAAAACCAAACCUUAUACCCAGGGAUAAAUCCAGCAUCCUUGAAAGCACAAGGGUUUUUCGGACAGCGAAACUGGGUAUGUCCCUCUUGUCCGGAAUUGUACCAUCAAAUGGACAAGCUGGUCUUUCCGCUCUGCUUCCCAGAAGUGUUGCGAGCAAGAGAGGCUGUCGGUGUAGGUGUUUUCCUACUCCCAAAUGUUGAACGUGACAUUCAGCCGGUUCCUGAAUUACUUCUUUUUUGGUCCGUUAGGCAGCCAACCAAGCAAUUUGUGUCCUGUGCCGUUCCAGAAUGCCUUUUUCCAUCUGUUUUUUGUCCGCUAGUGGACCAAAGAUUGGAACUUUGGUCGAGGGGUUUUGCAAAACAUUGGUCAAGUGUCCGGGCGACCAAAGUUACCGCCUUGUACGAGUAUUUUAAAUUUCCAAAUGUAAAAAGAAGCUAACUGUAAUCAAAUUUAUUUCAGUCUAUUUACCUUGUCAAAUUUUUUUGAUGGUACAACAAAGCUUUUCUUAUGCUAUAUUGAGCAUACAUUUUAAUUUUUGAAGUCUACUGUAGUCGCCUUGUGAGUUCACGCCAAACAUCAACAACAGCCUAAUCGACUCGUCACAUCUCUACUUCACUGACUAAAUUUGGUACCAUGGCUGCAUUAGAAGAAAUCAUAGAUGAAGAAAUGUAUGAAAUGGAAGAAUUGCGACGAGUGAGGAUUCCACGCAUUGUACCUAAAGAUCGCAGUGACCCAUUUCAUUAUCUUUCUGGUGAAGAAUUCCUUGAGCGUUUUCGUCUGCCAAAGGAUGCUGUAUGAAACCUCAUUGAAGAAGUUAGGCCACGUACACAUGUGGACAGGCUUGGCACAGGAUAUGGCAUUCCUCUGCAUUUGAAGAUGCUAGUUACCUUGCGGUACCUAGCCACGGGAAGUUUCCUUCUUACGGUAGCUGACAUAAUGGAUAUUGCAAAAUCAUUAGCAUGCAGUGCUGUUGGAGAGGUGGUUCAACUUAUUGUUUUCCUGGCACAGACUACAUCAAAUUCCCACAGCCAGAAGAAGCACGUCAGAUGGCCUCAAAGUUCUAUGAUAUUGCUGGUAUGCCAGUUGUAUUCGGGUGUAUAGAUUGUACACAUAUGCCAGGUGGGAACAACGUUGAGAUGUAUAGAUGUCGAGAGGGGUUUUACUCGUUAAAUGUCCAAGGUAUUUGUGAUUCAGAACUCAAAUUUAUGCAUGUUGUCGCAAGUUGUCCAGGCAGCGUACAUGACUCAAGAAUAUUUUCUAAUUGUCGUAUCUGUCAUCUUCUAGAGCAAGGAGAUUACAGCGGUUUAUAUUUGUUAGGGGAUAGUGGGUAUCCAAGUCGGGAAUAUUUACUGACUCCACUCCUAGCUCCAAGAA
Molecule: long non-coding RNA, 3522 nt
Organism: Portunus trituberculatus (swimming crab)
Lineage: Eukaryota; Metazoa; Arthropoda; Malacostraca; Decapoda; Portunidae
Exons: 3
Source: RefSeq, a predicted model, not a curated record